GGUAGUCCACGCCGUAAACGUUGGGAACUAGGUGUGGGCUCCAUUCCACGGAGUCUGUGCCGCAGCUAACGCAUUAAGUUCCCCGCCUGGGGAGUACGGCCGCAAGGCUAAAACUCAAAGGAAUUGACGGGGCCCGCACAAGCGGCGGAGCAUGUGGCUUAAUUCGAUGCAACGCGAAGAACCUUACCUGGGCUUGACAUGCAGGGAAAUCUCGUAGAGAUACGGGGGUCCGUAAGGGCCUUGCACAGGUGGUGCAUGGCUGUCGUCAGCUCGUGUCGUGAGAUGUUGGGUUAAG
This 295-nucleotide ribosomal RNA is filed under the name uncultured bacterium. Its description in RNAcentral is "partial 16S ribosomal RNA". It matches the Rfam family "Bacterial small subunit ribosomal RNA", at positions 789 to 1084 of the family's 1533-position model. The record is from RNAcentral.